UGUGCAGCAGUCGGGAAUAUUGCGCAAUGGGGGAAACCCUGACGCAGCGACGCCGCGUGGGCGACGAAGGCCUUCGGGUCGUAAAGCCCUUUUGUCAGGGACGAGUGAGGACGGUACCUGGCGAAUAAGUCUCGGCUAACUACGUGCCAGCAGCCGCGGUAAAACGUAGGAGGCGAGCGUUAUCCGGAUUCACUGGGCGUAAAGCGCGCGUAGGCGGUUUGUUAAGUCGGAUGUGAAAGCCCCUGGCUCAACUGGGGGAGGUCAUUCGAUACUGGCAGGCUUGAGGGUGAGAGAGGGGAGUGGAAUUCCCGGUGUAGCGGUGGAAUGCGUAGAGAUCGGGAGGAACACCAGUGGCGAAGGCGGCUCCCUGGCUCACUCCUGACGCUGAGAGCGCGAAAGCGUGGGGAGCAAACGGGAUUAGAUACCCUGGUAGC
RNAcentral lists this ribosomal RNA (434 nucleotides) under uncultured bacterium. RNAcentral's name for it is "bacterial SSU rRNA". It matches the Rfam family "Bacterial small subunit ribosomal RNA", at positions 345 to 794 of the family's 1533-position model. The record is from RNAcentral.